AAGCGACUAAGCGUACACGGUGGAUGCCCUGGCAGUCAGAGGCGAUGAAGGACGUGCUAAUCUGCGAUAAGCGUCGGUAAGGUGAUAUGAACCGUUAUAACCGGCGAUUUCCGAAUGGGGAAACCCAGUGUGAUUCGUCACACUAUCAUUAACUGAAUCCAUAGGUUAAUGAGGCGAACCGGGGGAACUGAAACAUCUAAGUACCCCGAGGAAAAGAAAUCAACCGAGAUUCCCCCAGUAGCGGCGAGCGAACGGGGAGCAGCCCAGAGCCUGAAUCAGUGUGUGUGUUAGUGGAAGCGUCUGGAAAGGCGCGCGAUACAGGGUGACAGCCCCGUACACAAAAAUGCACAUGCUGUGAGCUCGAUGAGUAGGGCGGGACACGUGGUAUCCUGUCUGAAUAUGGGGGGACCAUCCUCCAAGGCUAAAUACUCCUGACUGACCGAUAGUGAACCAGUACCGUGAGGGAAAGGCGAAAAGAACCCCGGCGAGGGGAGUGAAAAAGAACCUGAAACCGUGUACGUACAAGCAGUGGGAGCACGCUUAGGCGUGUGACUGCGUACCUUUUGUAUAAUGGGUCAGCGACUUAUAUUCUGUAGCAAGGUUAACCGAAUAGGGGAGCCGAAGGGAAACCGAGUCUUAACUGGGCGUUAAGUUGCAGGGUAUAGACCCGAAACCCGGUGAUCUAGCCAUGGGCAGGUUGAAGGUUGGGUAACACUAACUGGAGGACCGAACCGACUAAUGUUGAAAAAUUAGCGGAUGACUUGUGGCUGGGGGUGAAAGGCCAAUCAAACCGGGAGAUAGCUGGUUCUCCCCGAAAGCUAUUUAGGUAGCGCCUCGUGAACUCAUCUCCGGGGGUAGAGCACUGUUUCGGCAAGGGGGUCAUCCCGACUUACCAACCCGAUGCAAACUGCGAAUACCGGAGAAUGUUAUCACGGGAGACACACGGCGGGUGCUAACGUCCGUCGUGAAGAGGGAAACAACCCAGACCGCCAGCUAAGGUCCCAAAGUCAUGGUUAAGUGGGAAACGAUGUGGGAAGGCCCAGACAGCCAGGAUGUUGGCUUAGAAGCAGCCAUCAUUUAAAGAAAGCGUAAUAGCUCACUGGUCGAGUCGGCCUGCGCGGAAGAUGUAACGGGGCUAAACCAUGCACCGAAGCUGCGGCAGCGACGCUUAUGCGUUGUUGGGUAGGGGAGCGUUCUGUAAGCCUGUGAAGGUGUGCUGUGAGGCAUGCUGGAGGUAUCAGAAGUGCGAAUGCUGACAUAAGUAACGAUAAAGCGGGUGAAAAGCCCGCUCGCCGGAAGACCAAGGGUUCCUGUCCAACGUUAAUCGGGGCAGGGUGAGUCGACCCCUAAGGCGAGGCCGAAAGGCGUAGUCGAUGGGAAACAGGUUAAUAUUCCUGUACUUGGUGUUACUGCGAAGGGGGGACGGAGAAGGCUAUGUUGGCCGGGCGACGGUUGUCCCGGUUUAAGCGUGUAGGCUGGUUUUCCAGGCAAAUCCGGAAAAUCAAGGCUGAGGCGUGAUGACGAGGCACUACGGUGCUGAAGCAACAAAUGCCCUGCUUCCAGGAAAAGCCUCUAAGCAUCAGGUAACAUCAAAUCGUACCCCAAACCGACACAGGUGGUCAGGUAGAGAAUACCAAGGCGCUUGAGAGAACUCGGGUGAAGGAACUAGGCAAAAUGGUGCCGUAACUUCGGGAGAAGGCACGCUGAUAUGUAGGUGAAGUCCCUCGCGGAUGGAGCUGAAAUCAGUCGAAGAUACCAGCUGGCUGCAACUGUUUAUUAAAAACACAGCACUGUGCAAACACGAAAGUGGACGUAUACGGUGUGACGCCUGCCCGGUGCCGGAAGGUUAAUUGAUGGGGUCAGCGCAAGCGAAGCUCUUGAUCGAAGCCCCGGUAAACGGCGGCCGUAACUAUAACGGUCCUAAGGUAGCGAAAUUCCUUGUCGGGUAAGUUCCGACCUGCACGAAUGGCGUAAUGAUGGCCAGGCUGUCUCCACCCGAGACUCAGUGAAAUUGAACUCGCUGUGAAGAUGCAGUGUACCCGCGGCAAGACGGAAAGACCCCGUGAACCUUUACUAUAGCUUGACACUGAACAUUGAGCCUUGAUGUGUAGGAUAGGUGGGAGGCUUAGAAGUGUGGACGCCAGUCUGCAUGGAGCCGACCUUGAAAUACCACCCUUUAAUGUUUGAUGUUCUAACGUUGACCCGUAAUCCGGGUUGCGGACAGUGUCUGGUGGGUAGUUUGACUGGGGCGGUCUCCUCCUAAAGAGUAACGGAGGAGCACGAAGGUUGGCUAAUCCUGGUCGGACAUCAGGAGGUUAGUGCAAUGGCAUAAGCCAGCUUGACUGCGAGCGUGACGGCGCGAGCAGGUGCGAAAGCAGGUCAUAGUGAUCCGGUGGUUCUGAAUGGAAGGGCCAUCGCUCAACGGAUAAAAGGUACUCCGGGGAUAACAGGCUGAUACCGCCCAAGAGUUCAUAUCGACGGCGGUGUUUGGCACCUCGAUGUCGGCUCAUCACAUCCUGGGGCUGAAGUAGGUCCCAAGGGUAUGGCUGUUCGCCAUUUAAAGUGGUACGCGAGCUGGGUUUAGAACGUCGUGAGACAGUUCGGUCCCUAUCUGCCGUGGGCGCUGGAGAACUGAGGGGGGCUGCUCCUAGUACGAGAGGACCGGAGUGGACGCAUCACUGGUGUUCGGGUUGUCAUGCCAAUGGCACUGCCCGGUAGCUAAAUGCGGAAGAGAUAAGUGCUGAAAGCAUCUAAGCACGAAACUUGCCCCGAGAUGAGUUCUCCCUGACUCCUUGAGAGUCCUGAAGGAACGUUGAAGACGACGACGUUGAUAGGCCGGGUGUGUAAGCGCAGCGAUGCGUUGAGCUAACCGGUACUAAUGAACCGUGAGGCUUAACCUUAC
RNAcentral lists this ribosomal RNA (2902 nucleotides) under Escherichia coli. Its description in RNAcentral is "bacterial LSU rRNA". It matches the Rfam family "Bacterial large subunit ribosomal RNA". Lineage: Bacteria; Pseudomonadati; Pseudomonadota; Gammaproteobacteria; Enterobacterales; Enterobacteriaceae. The record is from RNAcentral.